Molecule: non-coding RNA, 82 nt
Organism: Knufia fluminis
Lineage: Eukaryota; Fungi; Ascomycota; Eurotiomycetes; Chaetothyriales; Trichomeriaceae
Source: the annotation of a GenBank genome assembly
GGUCGCAUGGUGUAGUGGCUAUCACGUCUCCUUUACACAUGUAAAACGGAGAAGGUCAGGAGUUCAAUCCUCCUUGUGGUGA